ACAAAGCUUACACACACAAUUCUGUGGGAGCUGUGACGUUAGCGUUCUGCGACUGAGCAGUGCUAUCUGUGGUAGAAGCGGUGUUUCAUGUUUGGAAGCGUGGUCACUGCAUGGGUUUGUUUUCGUAGCAAUGACUGAAAGUAUGGCAUUGUUUUCGUAACAUUUGUGACGGAAAUCUUGUUCUCACUGUCAUAUUCGAUUCGGAUUGUUAUUGAGCAUCUUGUCAAAAUGCCACGCAAGUGCUGUAUGCCCUAUUGUAGGGGAAACUACGACAACGGUUUAAAAGUUAGCGUCUUUUCGUUCCCGUCUGAUGAAGCAUUAAGAUUGAAACGGAUCGCUGCAGUUCAUAGGAAAGACUGGGAACCCAGUUCGUUAUAUGUGAACUGCAUUUCACUGCAGACGACAUUGAGAAAAUUACCAGUGCUUACGACCCAAAACUGGCAAACUCUUUACAGUUUACAGCACCGUUGGACCGUCCACGUUUAAAGAAACAUGCUGUACCAUCAAAGUUGCCAGGAUGACCUACGUAUUUAUCUUCAAAACAAGCACCAGCUCGAGAAGAUCCAGAGGGUCGCGAACGUUUGGGGAACCAAGCACUUGAGAAAGUCAUUGAGCAGAGUGUGGAAUCACACAAAAAAUGAUGGAGAAGGGUUCAUUUGCUAGUUUAGAAGAUUUUAAAUCAAAAUUAUCUGAUUGUGAAAAGCACGGUGACUGGGUCACGGGUGUUAAAGGAUGCUCCUUAUCUAAGUGUUGUGUGUCAUGUCGUUAUAAAUAGUGAUUUAGUGUUAAGUGCAUUUGUGAAGGAAGCUGAGCUAAAUUGUGCUGGUAAGAUUAAAUUAUCAAACCAAGUAAGUGAUACUGGUACAGUUAGCAAUAUUUUGAAAGAGUUGUAUGUGAUGUUUCAUAUACAUGAGGCUCCAUUUGAGGCAAGUUUGUCUUGCAUUGAAGACAUUUUGGAAAACUUGUAAUAAAAGUUACCAGAAAGUGAGCAUAAAAUUAAAUUUUUGAAGGAACAAGUUUCAUUUCCAAGAUUUAAUAGUCCAACACAGAUUAGGUACGGGAGUGUUUCAAUGAUUUUAUGGUCAUUACCUUAUUCUAUCAGUCCACAUGCAUAUAGGUUUUUGACGAGUGCUCGUAAUUUUUCCAUUCCCCGUCCCAGUACUUUGUCAAAACUUUGGAGUAAAAUUCCAACUAACCCAAUCAUUCAACAUCAGAGUGAGCAGUUUCUCAGUUACAUACCACAAAAAGUUGGUGCUUUAUCUGUGAAUGAUAAAACUGUCCUGUUGAUGGAUGAGAUUUAUUUAAAGUCACAACUUGAAUAUAAAGGUGGCAAUGUUGUAGGUGGUGCUUUUAACACAGAUGUGGUUUUGUGUGCAACUAGUGCUUAUGUUUUUAUGAUCCAGAGUAUGGAUUCAGUGUACAAAGAUGUGGUGCAUAU
Long non-coding RNA from Schistocerca serialis cubense, 1438 nucleotides. RefSeq lists it as uncharacterized. The record is from RefSeq and is a predicted model, not a curated record. The transcript is spliced from 3 exons. Lineage: Eukaryota; Metazoa; Arthropoda; Insecta; Orthoptera; Acrididae.